UUUCAUUCUGAUUCAACGAAGGGAGCCGUUGAGACCUAGCUGAUUCAUAUUAGAAACUUCUAGUUAACUCUGCUUGAAUAUCUGUGCUUUUGCUUCUGUAUUUAUUACGGGCCGUGGAUUAUUAUUUAACUAGAUUAUUGCUUCUUUUCUUAAUUACUAAAUAUUAACUAUCGCCGAUUUCAUUUUGCACGGGUUUAAUGCCGGAUUAAUUUUUUUGCGAUGUAGGUACCUACACGUGUACAACAAGAAGAUCCAUUGCAUUUCCUGCUUCUGGAUAAGAAAGUGAAAGAGUGACGUGGCGUUAUUGAUUUAAAGGAUCUGUUUAAGUGUACUAAAGAAUUGAAACAGCCUGAACACACUGAGCUGGUUAAUAGAAGCAGCUGAAAGUACUCAGAAACACAAAUUAGUUCAGAAAAACAAGCAAAAAUUUUAUGUUGCUUGACCGCUUGCUUGCCUGUACCAUUUCCUCUGGCUCCAUCCUCUGCUAAAUGUACCUCGCUUCCAUACAGCUGUUGCUUUGAGCUUGAGAAAACAUUCUUGUAUUAUAUCGUGAAGUAAAAAUUAUAUCAUGAAGAAAAUUGUUACCAAGGAUUAAUAUUUUAAAGGAAGAUGGCGUUGAAGAGCUGCCUGAGAGAUUUUCAAAUUCACUGAGAUGAUGAGAUGAGAUUUUCAAGACACUGAGGAGUUGUCACAGGGACCUCAGUAUUGCAGGAAGCAUUGGUCGACCCUCCUGCCCCCGGGGACUAUCAGGAUCAGCCCAUGAGCUGACGGAGGCCGCAGCAGCCAGCUUCCAGUCCAGAAGAGUAACAUACCUCAUGUGGCAAAAUCAGACAGGCCUUUCAUCCAUGACCCUGUAAACGUUGUUAGCUUUACCUGCGCCUUUAGUCUACACUAAAUUAUAAUAACAAUUUACUCUGCUAACGUUUUGUUAGAUGAUGAAGAUCGAUUUGACAUCAAAUCAACCCCAACAUAUCAGAAUGUUUGCUCUUGGUAUUUGUGGAAAUUAAUUCCCGAUGAUAUUAUUGUUGAAUCAAGUGUUUUUCCUUGGUAACUGUACUUCUUAAUGGAUUGUUGGACAGAAAUAGUUUUAAUCUUUAUUAUGUGAUCGGACAGACUUGUUAGACUGAUUCGUAGAACAUUGAAUACUUAUUCUUUUUUUUUUAAAUCAAAGAUGGUUCAGCAGAUGGUCUACUUGAUGGAAGGUAGUCACCGUCGCCCAUGGACAUCUGCAACAUAAGGGAUGUUGCGGAUGCGUCGCCGAACUUGAUGGGAAGAGAGAGGAGAAAAGGAAGGGACAAAUGAAAGGGCAACCGUCUCUGUCACUCAUCGGAUGAAUCGCAGCUAUUAAAGACUGCUUCACGCUGAUCUUCUGUGAGAGGCUAGUACUUUCCCGAUCCCCAUGAUAGAGGUAAUAAGCGCCUUUAUGUUGUCAAGUUACUACAAACUUGACCACCAUAAGGUUCUUCUCUUCUCUUCGAAAUAAUAUUGUAAACAAAUUUUUGGAAAUGUUAGUUAGUGUGGUGGCAAGUGUGAAAUCCUGUUAUAAAUUCGAGUGAUCCUCCAGAUUUAGUCCUUAUCCCUUCGUCGACAUAUGACUGUAGUACGUAUUGGAUUCCGUGAAGUUCGGCAACUAUAUCGGCAUAAUCAUUUUCAAAAUCUUCGUUAAUCAAUGUUCUGUAAAUUAAACUUUGGAAGUCUCGGAAAAGGGUGAGACACAUCUAUUUCCGCUAGCGGUCUCUUGAAACGGUCUUUAGAAGAGCUAGGAUUACUAAGUGAGACUGAAAUUUGUUCAUAGAGUUUUUAUUCCAAAAGUUUUUAAUUCACUCAACGCAGACAUCCGUUCACUCCGACGACCGCAGCGCAAGGAUAUAGAUAGGGACAGCGGGAAUCUCAAUCUAUUCAU
Long non-coding RNA from Danaus plexippus (monarch butterfly), 1903 nucleotides. RefSeq lists it as uncharacterized. Lineage: Eukaryota; Metazoa; Arthropoda; Insecta; Lepidoptera; Nymphalidae. The record is from RefSeq and is a predicted model, not a curated record. The transcript is spliced from 4 exons.